This 244-nucleotide long non-coding RNA is filed under the name Nicotiana benthamiana. Its description in RNAcentral is "long non-coding RNA (NBEN_LNC001157)". The record is from RNAcentral. Lineage: Eukaryota; Viridiplantae; Streptophyta; Magnoliopsida; Solanales; Solanaceae.
UUUAACUUUUGUUUGUGACCUGUAUUUUGAUGGCAGGUAAUGACUAAUGGAAGAUAAUAAUGCUGGCUUCUAUAGCUGCUGGAGUUCAAUUCGCCAGUUGUGGGUUAUUACAGUGAGAAUUGCACUACCUUCGAUUUUGUGUUUGUUUGUUAUUUUUGUUCUUUCAGUUUUGAUAGAACCAAAACCAAAUGAUGAGAAAAUUUCUACACUCACGGCUGGCAGCACAUGCAUGUUCAAACUUCUG